AUGUACAUUUUUAUAGCAUAGCGUUAAUGCACCUGAUCUUGUAAGAACUCUAAAGUUAAGCAUGCUAGGGAUAGAGUAGUACUGCGAUGGGUGACCUCCCUAGAAGUCCUAAUUAUUUACAUU
Molecule: non-coding RNA, 123 nt
Organism: Picea glauca (white spruce)
Lineage: Eukaryota; Viridiplantae; Streptophyta; Pinopsida; Pinales; Pinaceae
Source: Rfam